This 253-nucleotide ribosomal RNA is filed under the name uncultured bacterium. RNAcentral's name for it is "partial 16S ribosomal RNA". It matches the Rfam family "Bacterial small subunit ribosomal RNA", at positions 524 to 776 of the family's 1533-position model. The record is from RNAcentral.
GACGGAGGAUGCAAGCGUUAUCCGGAAUUAUUGGGCGUAAAGCGUCCGCAGGUGGACAUACAAGUCUGCUGUCAAAGUGCAGAGCUUAACUCUGUAAAGGCGGUGGAAACUGUAGGUCUUGAGUAUGGUAGGGGUAGAGGGAAUUCCCGGUGUAGCGGUGAAAUGCGUAGAUAUCGGGAAGAACACCAGUGGCGAAGGCGAGUCCCUGGACAACACCUGACACUGAGGCACGAAAGCUAGGGGAGCAAACAGG